RNAcentral lists this ribosomal RNA (477 nucleotides) under uncultured bacterium. RNAcentral's name for it is "bacterial SSU rRNA". It matches the Rfam family "Bacterial small subunit ribosomal RNA", at positions 29 to 507 of the family's 1533-position model. The record is from RNAcentral.
AGCGAACGUUUGCGGCGGGCCUAACACAUGCAAGUCGAACGCACUAGCAAUAGUGAGUGGCGCACGGGUGCGUAACACGUGGGUAAUCAACCCUUCAGCUUGGGAUAACGACUUGAAAGGGUCGCUAAUACCGGAUACGGCGCGGGAGGCUUCGGCUUCUCACGAGAAAGCCUCGCAAGGGGCACUGAAGGACGAGCCUGCGGCCCAUCAGCUAGUUGGUGAGGUAAGAGCUCACCAAGGCUAAGACGGGUAGCUGGUCUGAGAGGAUGAUCAGCCACACUGGAACUGAGACACGGUCCAGACUCCUACGGGAGGCAGCAGUGGGGAAUAUUGCGCAAUGGGCGAAAGCCUGACGCAGCCACGCCGCGUGAGCGAUGAAGGCCUUCGGGUCGUAAAGCUCUGUGGGGAGAGACGAAGAAAGCCUGUGAAGAGCAGGCCUUGACGGUAUCUCCUUAGCAAGCACCGGCUAACUCCGUG